RNAcentral lists this long non-coding RNA (941 nucleotides) under Mytilus galloprovincialis (Mediterranean mussel). The record is from RNAcentral. Lineage: Eukaryota; Metazoa; Mollusca; Bivalvia; Mytilida; Mytilidae.
GGACCAUUAUUGUUAAUUGUUUUACAGGAUGAGGAACUCUAUUAGUUUAUCAUUGCAUGCACAUAGUUUUAUUUAUCUAUCAUGUAUAUUACUGUUCAGGACAAACAAAAUAGAUGGUUAACCAGGAACGGAAAAUUUACUUUCUGUAAUUGUUUACUUUUAAUUUGCUUUCAUUUGCUUUGUUUUUCUUCUGUUAUAGGCUAAGAUUUGAUUUUGUGCACAUUUAUGUACCCUAUGUUCUGCACUGAAUUCUACUAGUUGAGUAAAAAAGGGAAGGUUAAGAUAAAAAAAGUAAUCUUGCUACAUUUCCAAGUCCCUGUUCUGUGCCAGACAACUCGCCAUGGGUAGCUACAAUCUUAUGUUAUAUCGGCGAAGCUCCUACCAUAUGUCCCGAUUCAAAGGCAUUGGUUGUCUCCUUUUUUCCUUCCCCCAUUUGGAUCCGCCACUACUGUGCCCAAUUGUGAUAACUCAAAGCUUCAAAUGUGCACAUUAACAAAAUUUUAAGUGGCAUUUAGUUUAACAGACUCCAUCAUUCUAUUUUGAUCUUUAUGGAAUUUCUUUGCUAUAGAGGACUAUAGGAUAAAUGUUAUGUUCCACUUGUUUUAGUCAUUAUCUUAGUUAUUACAGAUUACGAAUUACAUACUUCAUAAGCACAAUGACAAACACGAUGGCUGCAAGGAGUGGCAUAUCAACGGCAUCAACUAUUGGAAUUAAUCCUUCGCAUUUUGUUUCUCAAUCUUUAAUUUUCCGUACAGUGUUUUGAGUUCUGUUGACUUUUCGUUGGGUUUUUUUUACAAUUAAUUGCAUAUUUUUUCUCGACUCCUUUAUCAAAACAAAGGCUUGUAUUGCGAGGGAUGUUGUGCAAUACUGUUGAUUAGUGUAUAUUAGUUUUUUUAUGUUAUUUUGAAAGAAAUAUUGACCAUUAAAAGAAUUCAAACAAA